Molecule: long non-coding RNA, 1430 nt
Filed under: Anser brachyrhynchus (Pink-footed goose)
Lineage: Eukaryota; Metazoa; Chordata; Aves; Anseriformes; Anatidae
Description: lncRNA (ENSABRG00000009356.1)
Source: RNAcentral
CGAGAGCAUGCGGUGGUGAAAGAGGAGGCUACGAGAUGCCGCCCGGUGUUACGAUCGGCAGCAAAUGACCACCUCGCUGUUGCUCCUAGCUGGCUUGUACCAAAAAGAUAUAAACCCUGGGCAAUGCUGUGCGGUUACUAGUGAUGGAGAUUAUGGGGACACUGCAGCUUUCUUCUCCAAUCUCAUGUGAAUAAAUCCAGGAAACUUUGUUUCCUUUUCCUGAGCAAUACCUCUGGGCUCUACGUUGUUCGCACCCAUCCCGAGAGACGGCCCGAGCCUCUGAAUUAACAAAGUUUUCAUUUCCUUCUGCUUUCUGACCCCAGGUCAGCCAAGACCAGCCAUGCAUUGUGCUGGGGAGAUUGCUCUGUCCAAGAUUGUGCUUCAGAUAAGAGUUUGGAUGAUUAUGAUUAAUACGACUGCUUUAUUUGUCUGACAGGUGGACUGAUAAAUAGAUAUUGUUGCUAGGACUACGUUCCUUCCUGAUAUGAUAAACAGUACAGACAGCCUGAAAUGCUGGUGUUUCUUGGAGAUCCGUGAAACCAGAGGUCAGGGCAGCGUGUACCUUGCCCUUUGAUUGUACUUGGAUAAAGGACUUCAGUCCUUUAAGUGAACAGUGAUGAUUUCAUCAGGACCUGACAUGUCCCUAGUUUCCAGUAAGGAAAACAAACAAAACCUCACAGUUUGAGAAUACAGCCCAGACAUGCUGAAUGCUCAUAAAAGGGCAGAAUACACAGAUCCAAUAGAAAAAGUAGCUUAAAAUGUCACCAGAAACUGUUACGAUCUUUGGCGAGAUUCUUUUCCCCCUUUAUCUGAUCUGCAUUUUUUGUUCUUUCUGUCUUUACCUUACAGGAACAGAAGAAUUUUUGGAAUUCGUCCGCAAGCAGAUACCGUGCCUGAAGCUGCCUGAACUCCCCCUGGCUGCUGCGUUUCCCAUGAACCAGCCAGCAUAGAGAAAACAAACCCCAGCCCUGGAGCAGAAGAUAAGCAGCAGAAUGCCCUUGCACCUUCUGAUUCAUACAGCUUAGGUUACAUCUCAAGGGACCCAAGGCCAGGGUGAGUAUAGAUCUGAACUGAAAGCAAUGCUGCCCUGUUAAUAACAUUGAUACACAAUUUCCAUCUGCCUGUUAAGAGGAGAAGGGUGUUUUUCAGCUAAUAGGGUGUUUUUUUCAUGUAAGAUGCCAAGCGACAGUUCCUUCGCAGUGAUGCAUAGUGUUUGGUCUGGCACAGAAGGCUGUCUGAUGAUAAAAUGCCAUUUCCUCCUCUCCUCCCUGCCCCACUGAAAUCUCUGUUUGAUUAGCACCUACGUCUUCUCAGAGCUGGCACCGCAGGCUUGAGAGCAGGGCAAAGUGCCACCCCAGCAGAUGGACGUCGGUGCCAGCACUGCUGCUCGCACCAGGGAGGGCUCCGGAGGUCUGCAGCCCCCCCCCGAG